RNAcentral lists this ribosomal RNA (219 nucleotides) under Triticum aestivum (bread wheat). RNAcentral's name for it is "partial small subunit ribosomal RNA". The record is from RNAcentral. Lineage: Eukaryota; Viridiplantae; Streptophyta; Magnoliopsida; Poales; Poaceae.
GUGGGCUUUCGUGAUAUUCACUGUUUCAAUUUGGCAAUGCUGGCCAAAUAGGCUUGGCGUCUCCUAGAGAAUCUCGACUCUUUUUGUGCUACUAUUCUGAAAGCUAAAUACUAUCCUGAUGGUGAUUUGUUAAGUACUAAGUUAAAGAAGGGCUCCUCUUUUACCUGGCAAAGUAUUAUGGCAGGUGUUAACUCUUUGAAACAUGGUCAUAUUUGGUGA